GCAGGCAGGGCAACUGGUAAGCCGCGAGGCCCAUAACCUCGAAGAACCGGGUUCGAUUCCCGGGCCUGCA
RNAcentral lists this transfer RNA (70 nucleotides) under Ensifer meliloti. RNAcentral describes it as "Sinorhizobium meliloti tRNA-Met". It matches the Rfam family "tRNA". From Rfam's summary of the family: Transfer RNA (tRNA) molecules are approximately 80 nucleotides in length. Their secondary structure includes four short double-helical elements and three loops (D, anti-codon, and T loops). The record is from RNAcentral. Lineage: Bacteria; Pseudomonadati; Pseudomonadota; Alphaproteobacteria; Hyphomicrobiales; Rhizobiaceae.